CCGGGCGUCGGGGUAGCGGUGGGGGUCGUCUCCGAACUCGGCGAGUACCCGGGCGGCGAGGAUCGGCCCGAGGCCAGGCUGG
This 82-nucleotide small RNA is filed under the name Actinopolymorpha rutila. Its description in RNAcentral is "sRNA Ms_AS-4". It matches the Rfam family "Actinobacteria sRNA Ms_AS-4". Lineage: Bacteria; Bacillati; Actinomycetota; Actinomycetes; Propionibacteriales; Actinopolymorphaceae. The record is from RNAcentral.